This 261-nucleotide ribosomal RNA is filed under the name uncultured Streptococcaceae bacterium. RNAcentral describes it as "partial 16S ribosomal RNA". It matches the Rfam family "Bacterial small subunit ribosomal RNA", at positions 524 to 785 of the family's 1533-position model. Lineage: Bacteria; Bacillati; Bacillota; Bacilli; Lactobacillales; Streptococcaceae. The record is from RNAcentral.
UACGUAGGUCCCGAGCGUUAUCCGGAUUUAUUGGGCGUAAAGCGAGCGCAGGCGGUUAGAUAAGUCUGAAGUUAAAGGCUGUGGCUUAACCAUAGUACGCUUUGGAAACUGUUUAACUUGAGUGCAGAAGGGGAGAGUGGAAUUCCAUGUGUAGCGGUGAGAUGCGUAGAUAUAUGGAGGAACACCGGUGGCGAAAGCGGCUCUCUGGUCUGUAACUGACGCUGAGGCUCGAAAGCGUGGGGAGCAAACAGGAUUAGAUAC